AUCCAGACUCCUACGGGAGGCAGCAGUGGGGAAUAUUGCACAAUGGGGGAAACCCUGAUGCAGCGACGCCGCGUGAGUGAAGAAGUAUUUCGGUAUGUAAAGCUCUAUCAGCAGGGAAGAAAAUGACGGUACCUGACUAAGAAGCCCCGGCUAACUACGUGCCAGCAGCCGCGGUAAUACGUAGGGGGCAAGCGUUAUCCGGAUUUACUGGGUGUAAAGGGAGCGUAGACGGCGGAACAAGUCAGAAGUGAAAACCCGGGGCUCAACCCUGGGAGUGCUUUUGAAACUGUUUGGCUGGAGUGCAGGAGAGGUAAGCGGAAUUCCUAGUGUAGCGGUGAAAUGCGUAGAUAUUAGGAGGAACACCAGUGGCGAAGGCGGCUUACUGGACUGUAACUGACGUUGAGUCUCGAAAGCGUGGGGAGCAAACAGGAUUAGAUACCCCAGUA
This 446-nucleotide ribosomal RNA is filed under the name uncultured bacterium. RNAcentral's name for it is "bacterial SSU rRNA". It matches the Rfam family "Bacterial small subunit ribosomal RNA", at positions 329 to 792 of the family's 1533-position model. The record is from RNAcentral.